GGAAGAGAGGUUAGAGCUAACUAAAUACACGCAUUAGGUUCCGAUACUAUCCAAAGUAUAUUAUUUUUGCAAAGUUUGUGAUUAGAAUACUAACGGAUAUACAAGUCACAUUUCUUGGAAUGUGCAGCCUCUCAAGUAACUUAAACGAAUACAACUCUACCUGAUAACUUAUUAGUUUUGAAAGAGAAGAAGGGUAAAUAUAUAUAGCCCUAUUUAGAUGUGCUAAAGCUAAAGUUUAUCCCUACCUAAAGUUUAACCGGUUAAAGUUAGG
Molecule: long non-coding RNA, 271 nt
Filed under: Setaria viridis
Lineage: Eukaryota; Viridiplantae; Streptophyta; Magnoliopsida; Poales; Poaceae
Description: long non-coding RNA (SVIR_LNC002724)
Source: RNAcentral